RNAcentral lists this long non-coding RNA (2949 nucleotides) under Mus pahari (shrew mouse). RNAcentral describes it as "lncRNA (MGP_PahariEiJ_G0005206.1)". The record is from RNAcentral. Lineage: Eukaryota; Metazoa; Chordata; Mammalia; Rodentia; Muridae.
GGGGGUAAAUCAGGUGUCGCUGGGUGGCGGCGGGUGGCCUCGGGAGACAUUUGGAGAGGCAGGGUUGUCUGGGCGAGCAGGAAUGCUUCAUAAACUGGAGCUCAAGGUCUCUGCGCCACUGGAUUCUGCCUUUCGGAAUAAGGAUGAUGUCACUCAGGACGCCCACCGCUCUGCCAUGGAAGUGUGGGCCUUCUGCAGACUCAGACCAUCAGAGUGACACACCAAUCAGGCAGCAGAGGACGCCGUCCUCACCCAGGAUCCCAAGUGUACUUCUCGGCACUGAAUUUGGAAAGCGGCAUUCCUAUCAGAAGAGACCGGAGAUGCAGAAAGACACCAAGCACAGGAGAAAGACAACAUGACCACGGGACACGGGCUGAACUGAAGCACCCAUGAGCUUCAGUGGCAAACACUAGAAGCUAAGAAAGAGACCAAGCAGGAGUGUCCCGCAGAACCUUCACGGACAGCGGGCUCCUCGGGGGGCCUUCGUUUCCCCGUCUUGCUUCCAAAACUGAGACGAUCUGUGCUGCUCUCCUCGGCAGCUCACGUGGUCUAUGACUUUUAUCGGAGAACCCUGGAGCUCAUAUAGACGAUGAGAAAAGCGCCAGCUGCCCUGGGAAAUGGGGUAUGAGCAGCGGGAAGUCCUGCUGCCCCUCUGUCUGUGAACGGCUCUCUAAGAAAAACAUCUCUAGAAAUGGGGAGUAUACCAGACCAACAAUGUCACAUGAAACGGAAUACCCUCUUGCCGGGGUGGAUGCGUGUGCAAAUGCACUCAUAACACAGUACAGGGGUCACUGUGAAGGUGCCCACGUCUCACUACAAAACUCUAGUCACAUUGAGAUCAUUAAAAGAGGCUGACAAGCGGUUUAUCAAGUAAGCAAAGGACCAAAAGAUACCUCCUUCCGAAUCUUCAGAAUCCUAGGCAAAGGUUUGAAGAAAAUCAUAUGCUUGCCCCUCUCCCUUCCUCUCCAUCUUUAUCUAGCUGGUCUGAUGCAUAGUCUUCAUCCAUAGGUUGCAAGCAUUCCUCAGGCAGUCCCAUGUCCUGCCAGGGUUGAGAAUCACAUUAAAGAUCUGAACCUUCCGAGGGACAGUCAGCCUAGGCGCCACUGUCCAUGAGUGUUCCUUGAUCGCGUGCUCAGGGCCUGACGUAAGCAACGUGUGUGGGUAAAUGAGGUUGGUGCUUCCGAUGCCUAGGUGGCUAAGUACUGGCCCCUAUUGAAAGUUCCCCCCUGCUCUGUAAGUGCAGACUUUUCCAUGGUGAGUUUGAUGUUGGUUCACAUGGAUGCUGCCCCUCCGUCUGCCUGCAUUGUCAGUUGUCCAGUGUCUGUAGACGGCUGUGUUUAUUAUGUCCAACCACUGACCUGCUUACCAUGGGUACACAUGCUACUUUACUAGGACAGUCUGGGCAGAGUGCCACAAUCUGGGGUGGCUUAAGUCAAUAGACAUUCAUUCUUUCACAGUUCUGAUCGCCAGAAGGAUAAAAUCAAAAUAGGAGAAGGGUGGCUUCCUUCUCGGGGAUUCUUGGGCACAUCCUGAGGCCACACCCCUCCCCGGCUUUUUGAUAGCCGCUCCUUGGCGUUCCAACUUCAUAAUGCCACGCUCUGCCCCUGCUUCCACAUGGUCACCUUCCCUCUGUGUCUGUCCCAAAGGACACCAGUCAGACUGGAUUAAGGGUCCACCCUCUUCCAGAAUGACAUCAUCUAAGCUAAUUACAUCUGCAACAACCUUACUUCUAAAUAUGGUCACAUUCUGAGGUUCCAGGAAAGUCUUGUGUUUUAGGGUAAUACUAUGCAACCCAGGACAGUGGGUCACUGUGGUGCCGCUGUUCCAAAAUAGAAAUUUUUCACUUGAACUGCAAACUCCUGGCCAGAGGGUUGGUUUUUAUUUAUUUGAGGGGCUUUUUACAGUACUCCAAACCAAAGCAGUUUAACAGUUUGAGAUGAAUUAGGAUCGUAUAGUAAAAAUAGCCCAGUGUUCUGUAAGUGCUGGUUCCAGGGCCCACACAGUCCCUGGCGGGGUGGAGAUGGGGUGGGAGGGAGCAACAGAGUCUCAGGAGCUGCAGACUAGGAACCUGAAUUGCUGAGGGCUCUUUGGACCGAUAAACUCCAACCUCACCUGCAUACUGAAAGACAGUUACUACACAGUACAGGCGUUCUUGGGUACUUUGCAUUGAGGAACUGAGUUCAGUUCUUACGGGAGAUAUUAAGUCGUAGCUCUCCAGAGAAACAGCCAGUCACGUGUAAGAAGACAUACAGAAAGAGGUGACUUAAUGGAAUGGGUUUAUGUAAUGACAGAGAGGUUGGCAGGCUAGAGACCAGGGAAGACUUGGUGCUACAGCCCCAGGCAGGGGACAGUGUCCAGAGACUCCCCUCAUCCUCAGGGGUGGGGUGGGGACUCUGUUUCUUGUUCUAGCCUGAGCUUCUUGUACCAGAAUGAUUCCCCCCCCCAGCACCCCUAAAAACACAAUGGAAGACAUCAAUUUGCUUUACUCCAAACACACCAAUUCUAAUGUCAAUCUCAUUUAAAAAAAAUUUUUUUUUUCAUAAGUGUCCUAAAUAACUCGUGACCAUGUAUCUGGGUACCAUGACUCAGCCACAUGGGCAUACCAAUUCACCCAUUCCAUGAACUCUCACAGAAUCCAGCACUGGAAGAGACACAGGAUAAGGAGAGCAAGAGGCAGGAGAGAUGAAACCCCUCUUUAGACCUUAUAAAGUUGGGUGUCUAGCCCUAAGCACAACUCUUGCAAGUCUCCAUGGAGACACAUCUUAUCGGGUCCCAUCGGGAACCAGUAAACCUAGGUAUGACUGAGGCUUCUACAGAACAAAUCAAAUCCUUCUAUUGCAUUUAUACAUUCUAAGUGUGUGUAUAACAAUUUCCUAAGCACAUCGUAAAUGUAGACAGACUUAGUAAGUGUAUACCAUACAUUUUAUAAAAAGCAAGUAAUUAUCUACC